RNAcentral lists this long non-coding RNA (1072 nucleotides) under Mus caroli (Ryukyu mouse). RNAcentral describes it as "RIKEN cDNA 1700056N10 gene (MGP_CAROLIEiJ_G0005130.1)". The record is from RNAcentral. Lineage: Eukaryota; Metazoa; Chordata; Mammalia; Rodentia; Muridae.
GCCUUCUGGCUCUGAAUUUACUGGUAGCUGCUAAUAUAGUAGAUCACAAACUGCUGCUCUGGGUGACUGGAAUCUCCCUCAGGUCUUCCGGGUGAUUCUUCAGACACUGGUUACAGGGAAGGAAGGCAGCCUCACACCCCUCCCCAUCACUAGCCUUCAGUAGCCCCAGUGCUAAGGUGUCAGCAAAUCCCUGCUUCUGAGAGGAGAACCCACUUUGAAAACUCCUCAGGAAAUGGAGUUCACUCAGCAUGUCACAUUCAUGCUCCUGGGGGAGACAUGGAAAUGAUUCUCUUCCUUGUUCAUUGCUGAAGCCUGGUAGUUACAGUUGUCUCUCUUAACAGUGAUGGACUCCAUUCCUUAACAGCAGUCAGACCAGCAUCUCAAAUGCCAUACAUAAUCAGAACCAAACGUCACUGGGCUGAGAGCAAAGAGAGGUGGCAGCAGCUGGAAGCAAAUGUAGAAGUCCUCCUUGAUAUACCUCAAGUGUGAAGGAGGAAACACCAAGCGCAUGCCUUGUAAGAUAUCUUUUCUGGGGAAGUACAGGUCAUAGCUAAUGCUGAGGAAGGGUCUCUGAGAAGUGGAAAUUGGAUCUUUGAUGCCAUUUAUUGGGCUGGGCAAAGCAGGGCACAAAGAGAACAGAGGACCAGGGCCAAAGGGCCAUGGUACACAUAAAGGCUGUGGGCUGUGGGCACUCACUACAGAGAGGAUGAGACAGGAGGCAGAGUCCCCUUGUGUCUGUGGAUUCUUUAAGUAUAGGUAACCUGGCCAGAGGAGCCUUUACUAGGUCUGUGGACAGCAGAAAAGUCUGUAGAAGAGGUAUUUGAAGAGUCUGGAGACUGUUACUUCAAAUGUAUUUCCCUUACAAUGAUACUAAGUAGCCAGGAAGGAGGAAGUAACGAGACUUGGCAGUUUUCAGUUAUAAGACAUCCAAUAGAGGCUAGGCAUGGCAGCAAACACCUUUAAUUCUAGCACUCUGGAGUGAAAUUAAGACUAGCCUGGUCUUUAUAGACCAGGCUAGCUGAGGCUACCUAGGGAGACCUUGUCUCAAAAAACAACAAAAAAGCACCCAGUG